This 466-nucleotide ribosomal RNA is filed under the name uncultured bacterium. RNAcentral describes it as "partial 16S ribosomal RNA". It matches the Rfam family "Bacterial small subunit ribosomal RNA", at positions 28 to 507 of the family's 1533-position model. The record is from RNAcentral.
GACGAACGCUGGCGGCGUGCUUAACACAUGCAAGUCGAACGGAAAGGCCCUGCUUGCAGGGUACUCGAGUGGCGAACGGGUGAGUAACACGCGGGUGAUCUGCCCUGCACUUCGGGAUAAGCUUGGGAAACUGGGUCUAAUACCGGAUAGGACCGCACUUUAGUGUGUGUGGUGGAAAGUUUUUUCGGUGUAGGAUGAGCUCGCGGCCUAUCAGCUUGUUGGUGGGGUAAUGGCCUACCAAGGCGGCGACGGGUAGCCGGCCUGAGAGGGUGUACGGCCACAUUGGGCCUGAGAUACGGCCCAGACUCCGACGGGAGGCAGCAGUGGGGAAUAUUGCACAAUGGGCGCAAGCCUGAUGCAGCGACGCCGCGUGGGGGAUGAAGGCCUUCGGGUUGUAAACUCCUUUCGCUAGGGACGAAGCUUUGUUGUGACGGUACCUAGAUAAGAAGCACCGGCUAACUACGUG